This 265-nucleotide ribosomal RNA is filed under the name uncultured bacterium. RNAcentral's name for it is "partial 16S ribosomal RNA". It matches the Rfam family "Bacterial small subunit ribosomal RNA", at positions 793 to 1055 of the family's 1533-position model. The record is from RNAcentral.
GUCCACGCCCUAAACGAUGUCGACUGGUUGUUGGGGGUUUGACACUCUCAGUAACGAAGCUAACGCGUGAAGUCGACCGCCUGGGGAGUACGGCCGCAAGGUUAAAACUCAAAGGAAUUUACGGGGACCCGCACAAGCGGUGGAUUAUGUGGAUUAAUUCGAUGCAACGCGAAAAACCUUACCUACCCUUGACAUGUCCGAGAGCCCGCAUAGAUGUGGGUGUGCCCGAAAGGGAAUCGGAACACAGGUGCUGCAUGGCUGUCGU